AUGACGUAUAAAUAACACUUACACUGCGUGGGGUAUCAAAUCCGCUGCAGACUUUUCUUGUUGCGACUAUAGUUAUUUAAAUUUAAUAUUUUUUGUACAACAGAGACGCAACCAUUAUAAUGCGUCUCUCUUGGACAAGAACUAUAUUACCUAAUCGUAUGCGAUUAAGUAGGUACUUUAUUUCGUACGGCCAGAGAAGUAGCUAACUGGGCAAGAUGUACAAAAUGAUCUAAACACGCUCUUAUUCUCUUAACAAUAAAGUCGUAUUUAGUUUAUUUUGCACACCUAGCCAGCUUAGAUAUUUCUGCUGUUUUGUGCCCGAUUGCAUGUCGAAAUACUUUUACAAUAUCGUUAUUUAAAGGACCUAGUUGCAUGUAAUUAAGGUCCAUUUUGAAAUGAAUGAACACAACAUGCUAUCGCAUAAGAGGUGACAUCUAGUGGAAGAAAUUAGUAACAUAAUGUUACCUAUUCAUUUUAAUUUAUUUUUCUACGGUUUUUGUGAAUGCCUCAGUAUUUUGUCGAAUUUUUAUAUUAUUUAUUCAUAAGUGUAAUUUAAUGAAUAUGUUGUGAUUAUGAGUUUUUUUAAGUAAAUGAAUUUUAGUUUUAUUUUUGUACUGAUUGCUACUAUUGCUAGAUUAUAUUCAUCUUAUUUUUUACUGUGGCAUGUUUUAGUAGGAUCUAACUUUUGUAAGGAAUAUUAGAACCAAACCAACUAAUGUAGCAUUUCUACCUUCUUUAAAAUAAACUCAAUGUAAAUAAAACUACUUAUAGAACGGCCUAGCUUGUUCGAUCUUUUUUUAAUAUUUAAAUAUGCAGUAUUUGUUAAAUUCGUGUAGGAUUUGAUGCGUAAACACUAGUUUUGGCUUAGAACAACUUCUUCGUAACGCUACGCUCGUAGCCGAGCCCAGCGUUUUCCCGCUUUGUGGAGGAAAGCGACAGAGAACCCGCCGAGCGGGUUCCCGGCACUCAAUGUGAUUAGGGUCAUUCUACGGAAAGAGUAAUUAAAUGAAAUAGUGACUCGCGUUACUUAGAAUUACCCUUUACGUAACAUAGUACGUUUUUUAGAUUAUUUUUAGUAUUUCCCCUAUUUUCUUUCUUAUUUAUUCAACUAUUAUGUACGUCGUUCUUACGCAUAACAAAAGCUUAUGUUACAAACAUCACCCAUCUCUUUCUGUUUAGUAAAUUACCAGAGAGCUGGUACAAGUGCUAGCUUUUAUGCCUGGCCAAGAUGACAAUUGUGUGCAGAAAACGAAACGAAACGCCAAGAUAAACGCAAAUAACGAUUAACGUCAGGCGUGGCUCACUCCGCGAUUUCGCCGCGUCGCUACAAGUACAUGCGGCCCACAACAAAUUUGGUGUCUAGCAGUAGUAGUUGCCGCGCACCGCUACGGAACGGAUGCCUGCUCGCGCUUGCGCCACCUUGCGGCCACAUCUGUCGUAAUAGACGCGUUUUGUUAGAGAGUGAACCUUCUGUACGUAGUACUAUUAUUUAUUCUGUGAUAACGUAUAGAAAUGGUAGGUUUUCGUAUGCUUUUCUUUAAACGAUUGUUACCUUGGCUAGGCCCCCUCAUCAGAUUUUGUGAACAUCUCAAGUAAGAAAAGUUAGAGUAAAUAAUAUUUAUAUAGCCGUAUAGGGUCUCUUAAUAUAAGUAUUCAAAUUAAUAUUUAUUCUAUUCAAUCUUUAGGUAGGAACUGAAUUUAUAAAUCAUUUAACAAAAGCUGAUGGAAUAUAACAAAAAUGUGACAUUCCACAGGUAAAGGUCCCUUAUGGCGCCAAAUUAAAUUAAUGUUUUUUAUAGUGAAUCAUGCAUGAUGUAUCGUUUUCUAUUGAAAGUAAAUGGCUAAAUUAUUAUUAAAUUAUAAAUGAUCAUGGCGGUUUGCACUUACGCUAUUAUUAACGACGCUCCAAUAUUAAUGCGGUGCUACGUGACGCAAGCGCCGACCGCCAUAAGGUACCUUUUCCCGUGGAACGUCACAUAUAGUCAGUUUGCAUUGACUUGAAUUGAACAAAGAGUGUCAUUAUAAACGUCAUAUUUUCAUAGAAAUUUGACAUUAAUGAUGACAUUGCCAUAGUUUGUCAUUGCAAAUGCCAUGCAGAGUUAGCUUGGUCCGACUAUUAUAAUAUUACAUUUUGUCUCUUUCUGGCAAUUACAGUGCGACAGAGACGAGGUUUACAGUAAUAGAUGAAUAUUUAUUUCAGCUUUUUUUGAAUGAUCUGAAUAUAAAUGUACCAUUCCGAUAUUAGGGUGAAAUGCAAAAUAGAUAACUUACAAAUACAUAUAAUAAAAUAUGAUAUUGUAUCAGUUUCGUUAUAAUUCAUCAAAUAAAUGGAAAUAUAUUA
This is a long non-coding RNA of Cydia splendana, 2341 nucleotides long. RefSeq lists it as uncharacterized. The transcript is spliced from 3 exons. The record is from RefSeq and is a predicted model, not a curated record. NCBI's taxonomy places the organism in Eukaryota, Metazoa, Arthropoda, Insecta, Lepidoptera, Tortricidae.